Molecule: ribosomal RNA, 484 nt
Filed under: uncultured bacterium
Lineage: Bacteria
Description: partial 16S ribosomal RNA
Rfam family: Bacterial small subunit ribosomal RNA
Source: RNAcentral
AUCGAACGCUGGCGGCAGGCCUAACACAUGCAAGUCGAGCGGAUGAAGGGAGCUUGCUCCUGGAUUCAGCGGCGGACGGGUAAGUAAUGCCUAGGAAUCUGCCUGGUAGUGGGGGAUAACGUCCGGAAACGGGCGCUAAUACCGCAUACGUCCUGAGGGAGAAAGUGGGGGAUCUUCGGACCUCACGCUAUCAGAUGAGCCUAGGUCGGAUUAGCUAGUUGGUGGGGUAAAGGCCUACCAAGGCGACGAUCCGUAACUGGUCUGAGAGGAUGAUCAGUCACACUGGAACUGAGACACGGUCCAGACUCCUACGGGAGGCAGCAGUGGGGAAUAUUGGACAAUGGGCGAAAGCCUGAUCCAGCCAUGCCGCGUGUGUGAAGAAGGUCUUCGGAUUGUAAAGCACUUUAAGUUGGGAGGAAGGGCAGUAAGUUAAUACCUUGCUGUUUUGACGUUACCAACAGAAUAAGCACCGGCUAACUUCGUG